AACGAACGCUGGCGGCAUGCCUAACACAUGCAAGUCGAACGAGACCUUCGGGUCUAGUGGCGCACGGGUGCGUAACGCGUGGGAACCUGCCCUUAGGUUCGGAAUAACUCCCCGAAAGGGGUGCUAAUACCGCAUAAUGUCUUCGGCCCAAAGAUUUAUCGCCUUUGGAUGGGCCCGCGUUGGAUUAGCUAGUUGGUAGGGUAAAAGCCUACCAAGGCGACGAUCCAUAGCUGGUCUGAGAGGAUGAUCAGCCACACUGGGACUGAGACACGGCCCAGACUCCUACGGGAGGCAGCAGUGGGGAAUAUUGGACAAUGGGCGAAAGCCUGAUCCAGCAAUGCCGCGUGAGUGAUGAAGGCCGUAGGGUUGUAAAGCUCUUUUACCCGGGAUGAUAAUGACAGUACCGGGAGAAUAAGCUCCGGCUAACUCCGUG
RNAcentral lists this ribosomal RNA (433 nucleotides) under uncultured bacterium. Its description in RNAcentral is "partial 16S ribosomal RNA". It matches the Rfam family "Bacterial small subunit ribosomal RNA", at positions 29 to 507 of the family's 1533-position model. The record is from RNAcentral.